RNAcentral lists this transfer RNA (75 nucleotides) under bacterium. Its description in RNAcentral is "tRNA-Gly". It matches the Rfam family "tRNA". From Rfam's summary of the family: Transfer RNA (tRNA) molecules are approximately 80 nucleotides in length. Their secondary structure includes four short double-helical elements and three loops (D, anti-codon, and T loops). The record is from RNAcentral.
GCGGGGGUAAUUCAGUGGUAGAAUGCAAGCUUCCCAAGCUUGACGCCGCGGGUUCGAGUCCCGUCCCCCGCUCCA